Molecule: ribosomal RNA, 524 nt
Filed under: uncultured bacterium
Lineage: Bacteria
Description: bacterial SSU rRNA
Rfam family: Bacterial small subunit ribosomal RNA
Source: RNAcentral
AGAGUUUGAUUCUGGCUCAGGAUGAACGCUAGCUACAGGCUUAACACAUGCAAGUCGAGGGGCAGCAUGGCGGUGGCUUGCCACCGCCGAUGGCGACCGGCGCACGGGUGAGUAACGCGUAUCCAACCUGCCCGCAACCGCGGAAUAGCCCGCCGAAAGGCGGAUUAAUGCCGCAUGAGCUCGCGUGGGGGCAUCUGCCCGCGAGCAAAGGUUUUUUCCGGUUGCGGAUGGGGAUGCGUCCGAUUAGGCAGCAGGCGGGGUGACGGCCCACCUGGCCACCGAUCGGUAGGGGUUCUGAGAGGAAGGUCCCCCACAUUGGAACUGAGACACGGUCCAAACUCCUACGGGAGGCAGCAGUGAGGAAUAUUGGUCAAUGGGCGGAAGCCUGAACCAGCCAAAGUAGCGUGUGGGAUGACGGCCCUACGGGUUGUAAACCACUUUUGCGCGGGGAUAACCGCCGGCACGCGUGCCGGCCUGCAGGUACCGCGCGAAUAAGGACCGGCUAAUUCCGUGCCAGCCGCGGC